RNAcentral lists this ribosomal RNA (1062 nucleotides) under Triticum aestivum (bread wheat). Its description in RNAcentral is "partial small subunit ribosomal RNA". Lineage: Eukaryota; Viridiplantae; Streptophyta; Magnoliopsida; Poales; Poaceae. The record is from RNAcentral.
AUGGAGAGACUUAAUAAACAAGUCUGUGGUAAAUGCAAAGACCCAAGACACUCUACCAGAGAUUGUAGAGUAGGACACUACUUGAUAUGUGGAAGGGAGAACCAUAUCACUAGUGAAUGCAACUUGCUGAAGCAAAUGAAACCAGUCCCCAAAUAUGUUGGAUAUGCUGCCAAAGGGCUGGGGAUCCUAUUGGUUCAAAGCUACAAAGAUGUGCUUGUAGCUGAACACACAAAUCCCUUAGGUGUGGUGAUCAUCAGAGAAGGAAAUAUCAAUGAAACUGAACUCACAAAGGCUAUGGAAGAGAUGUUUUAUUGGGGAUGGCAGUGGAGAGUUAAGGAGUUUGGGGAAAAUGGUUUCAUGAUGAGAUUCCCCAAUAAGGCAAAACUGGUAGAGAUGGCUAAAUUUAAUGAUUUCAAUUUGCUGGGGACAGGGGUGGUCAUUAAGGUCCAACCUUGGUCCUUGGACCAUCAAGCAGUGGGGAAAAUGCAUACUGCCUGGGUUAAGCUGAGCAAGGUGCCUGACUGUUUUAGACACUUCUUGGGCAUUUGUGAAGUUUCUGCUGCAGUGGGGCCUGUGUUGGAAGUGGACAUGGAUACAGUUAAUGAAGAAAAAGUUAGGGUCAAAUGUGGAAUCAGAGAUGUGGAAAUAACUCCACCUCAAGUGGAAAUCGCUGCCCCUGAUCUACUCAUGUUCAGAAUUGGUGUAGAGGUGGAGAAGGUGGUGAAAAUUGGCUGGUAUAAAGAGGAUAAGAGGAAAAAUGAAAACACACAUAACCUAGAAGAUGGAGAUGGAGAAACAAAAGAUAGAAAGAGAUUCAGGGUAGAAGAUACUGAACAUAAAGGCAUUACACUGGGAUGUUUGUCUCCCAAACAAAGUGAGGAAGUAGAUGGAAAACUGGUCAAAAUGAAAGCACAAUUAGAAGAAAGCAUGAUGCAGUGGCAAGAUGAGAUGUAUGCUGAGAGAAGGAAGUGGCAAAAAGAAAGUGACAUCAUGUUCAACAACAUCAAGACCUUAGAAGAAGACAAAGCCAGACACAAUGCAUUGUGCGCUAAAGCUGAAUAA